Molecule: ribosomal RNA, 460 nt
Filed under: uncultured bacterium
Lineage: Bacteria
Description: partial 16S ribosomal RNA
Rfam family: Bacterial small subunit ribosomal RNA
Source: RNAcentral
CCUACGGGCGGCAGCAGUGAGGAAUAUUGGUCAAUGGGCGCGAGCCUGAACCAGCCAAGCCGCGUGAGGGAUGAAGGCUCCAUGGAUCGUAAACCUCUUUUAUCAGGGAACAAAGUGCGGCACGUGUCCUAUUUUGUAUGUACCCUAUGAAUAAGGAUCGGCUAACUCCGUGCCAGCAGCCGCGGUAAUACGGAGGAUCCGAGCGUUAUCCGGAUUUAUUGGGUUUAAAGGGUGCGUAGGCGGGCCUUUAAGUCAGCGGUGAAAGUCUGUGGCUCAACCCUGGGAUUGCCGUUGAAACUGGGGGACUAGAGUAGGUGAGAGGCAGGCGGAAUGCGUGGUGUAGCGGUGAAAUGCAUAGAUAUCGCGCAGAACCCCGAUUGCGAAGGCAGCGUGCCGGGCCAGGACUGACGCUGAUGCACGAAAGCGUGGGGAUCGAACAGGAUUAGAUACCCUUGUAGUC